RNAcentral lists this ribosomal RNA (468 nucleotides) under uncultured bacterium. RNAcentral's name for it is "partial 16S ribosomal RNA". It matches the Rfam family "Bacterial small subunit ribosomal RNA", at positions 29 to 507 of the family's 1533-position model. The record is from RNAcentral.
ACGAACGCUGGCGGCGUGCUUAACACAUGCAAGUCGAACGGUGAAGCGAGUGCUUGCACUCGUGGAUCAGUGGCGAACGGGUGAGUAACACGUGAGUAACCUGCCCAUCACUCUGGGAUAAGCACUGGAAACGGUGUCUAAUACUGGAUACGACCAACCCUUGCAUGGGGUGUUGGUGGAAAGAUUUAUCGGUGAUGGAUGGACUCGCGGCCUAUCAGCUUGUUGGCGGGGUAAUGGCCCACCAAGGCGACGACGGGUAGCCGGCCUGAGAGGGUGACCGGCCACACUGGGACUGCGAAACGGACCAGACUCCUACGGGAGGCAGCAGUGGGGAAUAUUGCACAAUGGGCGAAAGCCUGAUGCAGCGACGCCGCGUGAGGGAUGACGGCCUUCGGGUUGUAAACCUCUUUCAGCAGGGAAGAAGCGAAAGUGACGGUACCUGCAGAAGGAGCACCGGCUAACUACGUG